RNAcentral lists this long non-coding RNA (2728 nucleotides) under Homo sapiens (human). RNAcentral describes it as "HSALNT0385352". The record is from RNAcentral. Lineage: Eukaryota; Metazoa; Chordata; Mammalia; Primates; Hominidae.
GACCCGGGCCCGCCCCCUUGGAGCGCCUGGACGCUCAGCGCCCCCUGCCCGCCGCCGAGAGCGGGAGUUGGGGACGGACGCGCGAGUUGGGGACGGAGAGCGGGAGUUGCGACCGGACGCGCGAGGCAGGGCCGAGGCCGUGUGUUCAGACCACGUGGGCGCGGGGUGCGCGACAGGGUCUGUGUCCUGCGCUGCGUGAGCCGCGGCGCUGCGAAUACGAGUGGGUCUCCACCACCAGAAUGGCUAAAGUGAAAAAGACCGCACCGUGUGGAGGCGAGAAAGUAGAGCGACUGGACCUCUCUUGUAUUUCUGGGGGAGUGUAAAUUGGUAGAGACAUUUUGGAAAACUGGCAGUUUUCUAAUGAAGCCGAACAUAUGCCACCUCUGUGAUCCAGCAGUUCCACUCCUAGGCUGUCAACACCCAGCAGAAAUGUGUAGGUGUGAGCAUCAAGAGGGUGCAUGGGAAUGUUCAGAGCCCUUUCAUAACAGCCCCAAACUGGAAAUAACCCAUCAACAGAAUGGAAAAUGAAUGAUGCCCUACUCACUACCAUGCACAUAGACACAGCAACGGGAUUGACAUGCCCGGCUACACACAGCAACAUAGACAAGUCGCAUGAUGAAAUCUUGAGUGACAGAAGCCAAAUGCAACAGUACAUACUAGAUGGUUCCAGGUGUAUUACGUUCAGAACCAGACAAAACUAAUUUAUAGUGCACCAAAGUCAAGAUAGUGAUCGCCCUUAGGGUUGGGAGGGGACGAGGGGAGAGCUUCUGGGAGCUGAUCCAGUUCUGUUGUGUAAUCUGGUGCUGGUUCCCUGGGCAUAUGUAUUCUGUGAAAAUCCAUCACAUGACUUAAAUAAAAUGUACAUUACUUAAAUAAAAUGAGUGUGUCUUUGUUGACUUUAUUUGAGGCUGGCUUGUCAGCAGAUAAGACCAUGUCAAAAUUUGUGCUGCUGUUGUGUGUGUGUGUGUGUUUCAAGGUGUGGCUGUUGUGUCUGUGAAUUUGGGCGUGACCAUGUCCAGAGGUUAAGGGUAUAAGGGGUUAGGAGCAUGGUUAAGACAGCAUUUUUUUGAGCCAAGCUGCUUAGGUAAAAUCCCAGUUGUGCCACACCUAACUGUGUUACCCUGGACAAGUCACUUCUCUCUAUUCCGCAUCUAUAACACAGGAGUUAGUUAAUGUGCAUAUGGCUCUUAGAACAGUGCCCAGCACAUGGUAAAUGCCCAAUAAAUAUUUACAGUUAAUACACAUGUGAUUGUGGGCCCUACCAAUUGUCUGGCUCAAUUCUAUCUGCUGUGCCCUCUCCAGUUAAACUCUUUCUUCUUUUAUUCCAGCAAUUGCUCACGGCAAUACACACACCCACUCACACGAACACACGCACACACAUGCACGCGCACAUGCACACACGCGCACACCUGCACACUCACACGCACACAAAUCCACUCGCACACACGCAUGCUCACACGCACACACGUCCGCAUGCACGCACACACGCAGACACACGCAAGCGCACACACACACGGGCCUCCUCGUCUUCAUUCACAAACCCCAUUAGCUUCUGUUGUCUAUGGGCUUCCUCGACAGACCGCGAGCCCCUCGCGGGGGCCAGAAACCAAGUAUGGAUCAUCCCUAUGUGCCUUCCUUUCCGUCUACACCAGGUUAAUGGGGUUGACGUAUGGGUGUGACUUCCUGUCCAGGUCUCUGUAGCUUGUUCUCCUGGGGGUGGGGGGCGGGGUGUGAUUGUUACUAGGCCUGCUAAGAAGAGGAGAGCAGUGUAUCUGUCUCCCUCCUGGUGGGUGUGACAAUGAGAUUGGAAGCCAUCUAAGAUAGGCCAGGAGAUGUAUGUCUGGACAAACAUGCCCCAAGCCUGACGGCCCCCAUCGUAGCCUCCCUCGCAAGCCGCGCCCCAGACUAGAGAGAGGGCCUGCGCAUUCCUGUCCUGCCAGUCCGGCAGUUCCCUCUCCUGUCUCCUCAGCUUUACACCCAAAGCAGCCGCUGCCUCAGGUCCAAGCCUGAGCCCGCGGCAGAACAUUGGGCUGCCUCCCAGGCCCUGACACCCCCAGCCCCGAGGUCCUGUCCACCCGGCAGACAACUUGCCUUCCCCCUCGGGCCCCUUCCCCCACUAGGCCCCACGGACGAGGAGCUGAGCUCAGGGCCAAGGAAUCCUGUCUCAAAAGGGGGGGUAGGAUGAAAUGUUUGGGGUCUGGGCUCUGAUUGGCUGCGCCCGGGCCACGCCCCCAGCCCUUUCCCCUUUCUCCCCCCUCGAAAGGGGGGCGUGAAGGGAGCCGGGAUCAGCCAGGGGCCAGCAUGAGCCGGAGGGAGGGAAGUCUGGGUAAGGGGCUGAGGGACCGGACGCCGGGUCGCUGAGGGGCGCAGGAGUCAGAGGGAUUGGGAGCUGGGGGUCUGGGUUUCCGCCACCCCCGGGUCCGGGAGGGGAGCGGCCUUGGCGGGGAAGGGCAGGGCUCCGGUGUCAGGUAACGAGUGAGCGGGUGAGUUGUGAGAAACAGCAGGCGCUAGGGUUUAGAGGAGGCCUGGGGCUGAGGUUUCAGGGACCUGGGCUCAGGGCUUAGAUCACCGGUUCGAGUACACCCAGGGGGAGGACUGGGGUCGGGGCUGGGGCAGGACCCCUGCGUCCACUGAGUCUCGGGAAAGAAUCAGAGCUGGGGGGCUGAAGGAAGGGGUAGAGUAAGGGAAGGCAGUCUUGGAGUCACAGGAAGUAGUGAGUGACAACAGG